Molecule: long non-coding RNA, 2698 nt
Organism: Acinonyx jubatus (cheetah)
Lineage: Eukaryota; Metazoa; Chordata; Mammalia; Carnivora; Felidae
Exons: 4
Source: RefSeq, a predicted model, not a curated record
GGUGUGAGAAAUACUCAGAACUACUCUCGUCCCGUGGCUUCCCAGGUUGAAAAUGUUGGUCUGCUCUGGGUGGCAGUUUUGUUUAUAAGAGGGGGCUCCCCAGCCUUGUCUGCUCAGAGGGCUCCCUCCUUCAGUGGGAAGGAGGCAGCCCCGAGACUGGACCCCCUCCCCCCACACGGUCCCUGGAAUCACCUAAGAUAAACUGCACGCCCCCGCAGCAGUGGCCCCUCGUUCCUCCGUGUAGCCGAGGCUCUGGGGAGCAAGUGACUGGCCCAAGGUGACAUGGCCACCCAUGGCAGAUCCCCCACUGCUGGCCGAUGGGAAGCCGCUGGGCACCAGGCCCCCUGAUUAUGACAAAGGAGGCUGGGGUGGGGAGGGCCUAUCCAUUCAUGCGAUACAGUUUUGCUGAGCACCUGCUAGGUGCCAGGGGCAGUUCCAGGCAGAAAUCCUUCCCCCUGUGGAGCUGAUGGUCUAGGGCACAAAGGCAGUGCCUGGAGCCACAGUCCAGGCAGCUGUUGCGGGUCUUGAGUCCUGAGGAGGGAAACUGAGGCAGGGGACAAGAGGGCCCGGGAAGGUUUUGUCUCAACAGUGGGUCCCCUCCCCCUGUGCAGCUUCGAGUGACCCGCACCCAGGGCAGAGGGCGAACGUCUCGCACAACACCCGGUCUUGGCAGUCAUCCUGGAGGAAUGGUUCUGCCGUGGGGCUGGUUCUGCCCAGGGAAGGGAAGAACUGAGUCAGGAGGUCUGUGGGGGCUGGCGGUGAGGGAGGGAGGAGCCUGGGUGCUUCCUUCCUUUUCCACCCUGCUCUCAGGCAUUUUGAAAUACUUGGAAGAACUUCGGCUGUGUGGCUUGACCAUCCCCUUGCCCUCUCUGGGCCACAGUUUCCACAAAUAAGAUUGAGGGGGGUCAGCUGGGAUGAGCCAUUUCGGCUCUGGCUGCCUGGGGUCCUGGUCUAGGGACUCAGAGACUCUCCACUCCGAGUCCGGCUCCGUCUGUGAGUGUUCCUCUCGGCUGGAAGGGGCCCAAGGGCACAGGCCGGGGGUGAAAGUCAGGAAUGGCCAGCUCUGAGCGGCUUGUGGUGGCCGGGAACCCAUGCAGUGUGUCAGGAGAUGCCGUGUGGGCACACGCAUGUGUGCGUGCAGCCACACGUGGGUUCAGAGUGUGCUUUCGUGGGUGUCUUUACAGCAUGCGACAGAGCAGGGGGAGCGGAAGUUCCUGGAGUCUACAAGCUUCCCCACCACUGCCUCCGUCAUCGCAUUCCAGAACCCAGAACCAAAGGCCACCUCCUGAGUCCACUGGUCCCAUCCACUGGCCUUUAGGGGCAGAUCCACCUGGGUAAGUGUAACCUCCCCAAGACAGACAUGUAGACUGCCUACAAAAUAAAAAGCCUGUGUCCACAGAAGCAGAACAGGCCAACAACAGGUGGCAAAAGGCAGCAGCUGAAAGUUCGCUCUGGGACCUGUCCCUCACCCGGGCUAGCCAAAGGGUGCCUGCACAGGAUGAAAUGAACUCUUCAAUGCGAAAGAGAAUAUGGGUCUCCUCCGCUGUUGAAUUUUCAUGGAACGCCCCUUGUCCUUAAAUUGGGGAGGGCAGAGCAACAGAGAAAGGUAUUCACCGAAAGGUCCGAUGUAGGCCCAUGUUACCUGUGCUUCCUAACCCACUUCUUUUAGGACAGACAACGUCUAGAACACUGCUGGACUGGAAAUAAGAAUACGCUGCAUUGGGGCACCUGAGUGGCUCAGUCAGUUGGGUGUCUGACUUCGGCUCAGGACAUGAUCUCACGGCUUGUGGGUUCGCGCCCUGCAUUGGGCUCUGUGCUGACAGCUCAGAGCCUGGAGCCUGCUUCGGAUUCUGUGUCUCCCUCUCUCUCUGUUCCUCCCCUGCUCAUUCUCUGUCUCUCAAAAACAAACAAACAUUUAAAAAAUAAUGAAAUAAAGAAACAGAAUGGGUAAGUGACUAGUGAAAGGUCACAAAAUUAGGCAGCAGUAGACCCAGAAUUCACACCCAGGUCUGGCUUGAGAUCUGGUUCUUCUCUCAACACGCCUGCAGUGGCCUCGAGGGUGGAGUCGUCUGGUUACAGCCUCAGUGAAGACCCGAAGCCUUUACUUCUGUCAGCUGGACCUGUUUACCAAUGGGCAAAGGGCCCCUCCCAGGGCCAGCCAGGCCUCUGGAUCACCUCAUUUACUUUUAUGAGUAAACACCUUCAGAAAGUGCUAUUAGAUGUUACGUAAAUGCAGGCGAGUCACGGUAACAUCUGAAGGGUUGGGGCUUGUGUGUGUGUGUGUGUGUGUGUGUGUGUGUGUGUGACAAGAUAGCCUGACCGAGUGAGUGGGAGACGAAAUAUCCCCUUUACACUCUUAAGGUAGCAGUAAGUUCAAAGUACCCUAAGCUUCCAGUAUCCAUGAAUCAAAAAGUACAGAGUAAUGGGCUGAGCCUGAGCCUGGGGUGAUCACGCCUGCUGGCGGGUCACCAUGUGCUGCUAAGAACCAGCUAAGAAUGAAUGAAGCUUUCUGCUCCUGGAAAACAGAUGUGUCUGAAUCCAGAUGGGCUUGAGCUCCUCUCAAGCAGCUGUUCCCGAUGGAAGGAGCAGAAUCACCCGAUAUCUGUUUUUCCAAAUACUCCAAUAGAACAGGACACUUCUGAGGGGAGAGGAAGAAGGAAGCAAUUUCUGGAACAAGCUCGCGGGUGAGCCUGGCCGU